CACUCCUGCGGGAGGCAGCAGUGAGGAAUAUUGGACAAUGGGUGGAAGCCUGAUCCAGCCAUCCCGCGUGCAGGAAGACGGCCCUAUGGGUUGUAAACUGCUUUUAUCUGGGGAUAAACCUACUUACGUGUAAGUAGCUGAAGGUACCAGAAGAAUAAGCACCGGCUAACUCCGUGCCAGCAGCCGCGGUAAUACGGAGGGUGCAAGCGUUAUCCGGAUUUAUUGGGUUUAAAGGGUCCGUAGGCGGACUGAUAAGUCAGUGGUGAAAUCCGACAGCUUAACUGUCGAACUGCCAUUGAUACUGUUAGUCUUGAGUAAGGUUGAAGUGGCUGGAAUAAGUAGUGUAGCGGUGAAAUGCAUAGAUAUUACGUAGAACACCAAUUGCGAAGGCAGGUCACUAAGUCUUAACUGACGCUGAUGGACGAAAGCGUGGGGAGCGAACAGGAUUAGAAACCCUAGUAGUCCCA
This 467-nucleotide ribosomal RNA is filed under the name uncultured organism. RNAcentral describes it as "partial 16S ribosomal RNA". It matches the Rfam family "Bacterial small subunit ribosomal RNA", at positions 334 to 797 of the family's 1533-position model. The record is from RNAcentral.